RNAcentral lists this ribosomal RNA (1475 nucleotides) under Candidatus Pelagibacter sp. RNAcentral's name for it is "bacterial SSU rRNA". It matches the Rfam family "Bacterial small subunit ribosomal RNA". The record is from RNAcentral. Lineage: Bacteria; Pseudomonadati; Pseudomonadota; Alphaproteobacteria; Candidatus Pelagibacterales; Candidatus Pelagibacteraceae.
AAACUUGAGAGUUUGAUCAUGGCUCAGAACGUACGCUGGCGGCACGCCUAACACAUGCAAGUCGAACGAAGUAGCAAUACUUAGUGGCAGACGGGUGAGUAACAUGUAGGUAUCUGCCCUUUGGCCUGGAAUAACACGAGGAAACUUGUGCUAAUACCGGAUAAGUCUUUACGGAGAAAGCUUUAUGCACCAUUGGAUGAGCCUGCACUUGAUUAGUUUGUUGGUGGGGUAAUGGCCUACCAAGACGAUGAUCAAUAGCUGAUUUGAGAGGAUGAUCAGCCACAUUGGGACUGAGACACGGCCCAAACUCCUACGGGAGGCAGCAGUGGGGAAUCUUGCACAAUGGAGGAAACUCUGAUGCAGCGAUGCCGCGUGAGUGAAGAAGGCCCUUGGGUUGUAAAGCUCUUUCGUCGGGGAAGAAAAUGACUGUACCCGAAUAAGAAGGUCCGGCUAACUUCGUGCCAGCAGCCGCGGUAAUACGAAGGGACCUAGCGUAGUUCGGAAUUACUGGGCUUAAAGAGUUCGUAGGUGGUUGAAAAAGUUGGUGGUGAAAUCCCAGAGCUUAACUCUGGAACUGCCAUCAAAACUUUUCAGCUAGAGUAUGAUAGAGGAAAGCAGAAUUUCUAGUGUAGAGGUGAAAUUCGUAGAUAUUAGAAAGAAUACCGAUUGCGAAGGCAGCUUUCUGGAUCAUUACUGACACUGAGGAACGAAAGCAUGGGUAGCGAAGAGGAUUAGAUACCCUCGUAGUCCAUGCCGUAAACGAUGUGUGUUAGACGUUGGAAAUUUAUUUUCAGUGUCGCAGCGAAAGCAAUAAACACACCGCCUGGGGAGUACGACCGCAAGGUUAAAACUCAAAUGAAUUGACGGGGACCCGCACAAGUAGUGGAGCAUGUGGUUUAAUUCGAAGAUACGCGCAGAACCUUACCAACACUUGACAUGUUCGUCGCGACUUUAAGAGAUUAAAGUUUUCGGUUCGGCCGGACGAAACACAGGUGCUGCAUGGCUGUCGUCAGCUCGUGUCGUGAGAUGUUGGGUUAAGUCCCGCAACGAGCGCAACCCUCACUUUUAGUUGCCAUCAUUAAGUUGGGCACUCUGAAAGAACUGCCAGUGAUAAGCUGGAGGAAGGUGGGGAUGACGUCAAGUCCUCAUGGCCCUUACGUGUUGGGCUACACACGUGCUACAAUGAUAUCUACAACAGGAAGCAAAACGGCAACGUUAAGCAAAUCCCAAAAAGAUAUCUCAGUUCGGAUUGCACUCUGCAACUCGAGUGCAUGAAGCUGGAAUUACUAGUAAUCGUGGAUCAGCGUGCCACGGUGAAUGCGUUCCCGGGUCUUGUACACACCGCCCGUCACACCAUGGGAGUUGGUUCUACCUUAAGGCAAGGUUUUAAACCCUUGACCACGGUAUAGUCAGCGACUGGGGUGAAGUCGUAACAAGGUAGCCGUAGGGGAACCUGCGGCUGGAUUACCUCCUUU